This 113-nucleotide ribosomal RNA is filed under the name Burkholderiales bacterium. The record is from RNAcentral. Lineage: Bacteria; Pseudomonadati; Pseudomonadota; Betaproteobacteria; Burkholderiales.
CUUGGCGGCAAUAGCGAGGUGGCCCCACUCCUUCCCAUCCCGAACAGGACAGUGAAACGCCUCUGCGCCGAUGAUAGUGUGGAUUCCCAUGCGAAAGUAGGUCACUGCCAAGC